RNAcentral lists this ribosomal RNA (458 nucleotides) under uncultured bacterium. RNAcentral's name for it is "partial 16S ribosomal RNA". It matches the Rfam family "Bacterial small subunit ribosomal RNA", at positions 29 to 507 of the family's 1533-position model. The record is from RNAcentral.
AACGAACGCUGGCGGCAUGCCUAACACAUGCAAGUCGAACGAGACCUUCGGGUCUAGUGGCGCACGGGUGCGUAACGCGUGGGAACCUGCCCUUAGGUUCGGAAUAACUCCCCGAAAGGGGUGCUAAUACCGGAUAAUGUCUUCGGACCAAAGAUUUAUCGCCUUUGGAUGGGCCCGCGUUGGAUUAGCUAGUUGGUAGGGUAAAAGCCUACCAAGGCGACGAUCGGUAGCUGGUCUGAGAGGAUGAUCAGCCACACUGGGACUGAGACACGGCCCAGACUCGGUGGGGAGGCAGCAGUGGGGAAUUUGGGACAAUGGGGGCAAUCAUGAUGUAGCAAUGCCGGGUGAGGGAAGAAGGCCUUCGGGUUGUAAAGAGCUGUUGUUAGGGAAGAAAUAAUCCGGGCUAAUACCGCGGGGGGAUGACGGUACCGGAAGAAUAAGCACCGGCUAACUACGUG